This is a non-coding RNA of Caenorhabditis elegans, 21 nucleotides long. Lineage: Eukaryota; Metazoa; Nematoda; Chromadorea; Rhabditida; Rhabditidae. The record is from Ensembl.
UGGUUCGACGCUUCUAUUCUC